RNAcentral lists this ribosomal RNA (444 nucleotides) under uncultured Novosphingobium sp. RNAcentral's name for it is "bacterial SSU rRNA". It matches the Rfam family "Bacterial small subunit ribosomal RNA", at positions 337 to 798 of the family's 1533-position model. The record is from RNAcentral. Lineage: Bacteria; Pseudomonadati; Pseudomonadota; Alphaproteobacteria; Sphingomonadales; Sphingomonadaceae.
UCCUACGGGCGGCUGCAGUGGGGAAUAUUGGACAAUGGGGGCAACCCUGAUCCAGCAAUGCCGCGUGAGUGAUGAAGGCCUUAGGGUUGUAAAGCUCUUUUACCAGGGAUGAUAAUGACAGUACCUGGUGAAUAAGCUCCGGCUAACUCCGUGCCAGCAGCCGCGGUAAUACGGAGGGAGCUAGCGUUGUUCGGAAUUACUGGGCGUAAAGCGCACGUAGGCGGUUACUCAAGUCAGAGGUGAAAGCCCGGGGCUCAACCCCGGAACUGCCUUUGAAACUAGGUAACUAGAAUCCUGGAGAGGUGAGUGGAAUUCCGAGUGUAGAGGUGAAAUUCGUAGAUAUUCGGAAGAACACCAGUGGCGAAGGCGGCUCACUGGACAGGUAUUGACGCUGAGGUGCGAAAGCGUGGGGAGCAAACAGGAUUAGAUACCCCAGUAGUCACC